GGGCUGGCAUGUACCAAGGGGGGGACUGACUUUUGCAAAGUCGGUGUGAUGGGUUCGAUUCCCAUCCGGUCCA
RNAcentral lists this transfer RNA (73 nucleotides) under Gimesia aquarii. RNAcentral describes it as "tRNA-Ala". The record is from RNAcentral. Lineage: Bacteria; Pseudomonadati; Planctomycetota; Planctomycetia; Planctomycetales; Planctomycetaceae.